This 593-nucleotide ribosomal RNA is filed under the name Triticum aestivum (bread wheat). RNAcentral describes it as "partial small subunit ribosomal RNA". Lineage: Eukaryota; Viridiplantae; Streptophyta; Magnoliopsida; Poales; Poaceae. The record is from RNAcentral.
CCCGUUCGUCUGUUCGAGGCUUCCUGAGCCGUAUCCGCCAUGGCCAUCGUCAUCGGCGCGGCCACCGGCCUCCCCAAGCCCUGAGACCGCGUCCGGGAGAACCGCCGCCAUAGACUUCGUUCAUCCCGAGCAUCUAAUCGAGUGGAGCCGCCCGAUAGGCUCGCCAUCGAGCUCAUCUUCACCACGUACUUCACCGGCCGCCAUCGUCGAUUGCCUCGUCUUCAGCCCGUCCCCGACCACCUCGACCUCACCUUCGGCAUCGCGACGUUGGAGUCCAGGAGCCAGACGCCACCGUCGACGACGACUCCUACUACCCUGGAGGUGCCUGCUACUACGUGCAGGCCGCUGACGACGACCAUGAGUAGUUUAGGAGGAUCCCAGGCAGGAGGCUCACGCCUCUUCGAUCUGUAUCCCAGUUUGUGUUAGCCUUCUUAAGGCAAACUUGUUUAACUUAUGUUUGUACUCAUAUAUUGUUGCUUUCGCUGACUCGUCUAUGAUCGAGCUCUUGUAUUCGAGCCCUCGAGGCCCCUGGCUUGUAAUAUGAUGCUUGUAUGACUUAUUUUAUUUGUAGAGUUGUGUUGUGAUAUCUUCCC